UACGGAGGGUGCAAGCGUUAUCCGGAUUUACUGGGUUUAAAGGGUGUGUAGGCGGGUCUUUAAGUCAGUGGUGAAAUCUCCGAGCUCAACUUGGAAACUUCCAUUGAUACUAUUGAUCUUGAAUUCUGUUGAGGUGGGCGGAAUAAGUCAUGUAGCGGUGAAAUGCAUAGAUAUGACUUAGAACACCAAUUGCGAAGGCAGCUCACUAAACAGAUAUUGACGCUGAGGCACGAAAGCGUGGGGAUCAAACAGG
Molecule: ribosomal RNA, 253 nt
Filed under: uncultured bacterium
Lineage: Bacteria
Description: partial 16S ribosomal RNA
Rfam family: Bacterial small subunit ribosomal RNA
Source: RNAcentral